CAGCCGCCACGGGAAUACGAAGGGGGCUAGCGUUGUUCGGAAUUACUGGGCGUAAAGCGCACGUAGGCGGAUAUUUAAGUCAGGGGUGAAAUCCCGCAGCUCAACUGCGGAACUGCCUUUGAUACUGGGUAUCUUGAGUAUGGAAGAGGUUAGUGGAAUUGCGAGUGUAGAGGUGAAAUUCGUAGAUAUUCGCAGGAACACCAGUGGCGAAGGCGGCUAACUGGUCCAUAACUGACGCUGAGGUGCGAAAGCGUGGGGAGCAAACAGGAUUAGAUACCCCCGUAGUCCCUGUCUCUUAUAU
Molecule: ribosomal RNA, 301 nt
Filed under: uncultured bacterium
Lineage: Bacteria
Description: partial 16S ribosomal RNA
Rfam family: Bacterial small subunit ribosomal RNA
Source: RNAcentral